GGGUUGUGAGGUUAAGCGACUAAGCGUACACGGUGGAUGCCCUGGCAGUCAGAGGCGAUGAAGGACGUGCUAAUCUGCGAUAAGCGUCGGUAAGGUGAUAUGAACCGUUAUAACCGGCGAUUUCCGAAUGGGGAAACCCAGUGUGAUUCGUCACACUAUCAUUAACUGAAUCCAUAGGUUAAUGAGGCGAACCGGGGGAACUGAAACAUCUAAGUACCCCGAGGAAAAGAAAUCAACCGAGAUUCCCCCAGUAGCGGCGAGCGAACGGGGAGGAGCCCAGAGCCUGAAUCAGUGUGUGUGUUAGUGGAAGCGUCUGGAAAGGCGCGCGAUACAGGGUGACAGCCCCGUACACAAAAAUGCACAUGCUGUGAGCUCGAUGAGUAGGGCGGGACACGUGGUAUCCUGUCUGAAUAUGGGGGGACCAUCCUCCAAGGCUAAAUACUCCUGACUGACCGAUAGUGAACCAGUACCGUGAGGGAAAGGCGAAAAGAACCCCGGCGAGGGGAGUGAAAAAGAACCUGAAACCGUGUACGUACAAGCAGUGGGAGCCUCUUUAUGGGGUGACUGCGUACCUUUUGUAUAAUGGGUCAGCGACUUAUAUUCUGUAGCAAGGUUAACCGAAUAGGGGAGCCGAAGGGAAACCGAGUCUUAACUGGGCGUUAAGUUGCAGGGUAUAGACCCGAAACCCGGUGAUCUAGCCAUGGGCAGGUUGAAGGUUGGGUAACACUAACUGGAGGACCGAACCGACUAAUGUUGAAAAAUUAGCGGAUGACUUGUGGCUGGGGGUGAAAGGCCAAUCAAACCGGGAGAUAGCUGGUUCUCCCCGAAAGCUAUUUAGGUAGCGCCUCGUGAAUUCAUCUCCGGGGGUAGAGCACUGUUUCGGCAAGGGGGUCAUCCCGACUUACCAACCCGAUGCAAACUGCGAAUACCGGAGAAUGUUAUCACGGGAGACACACGGCGGGUGCUAACGUCCGUCGUGAAGAGGGAAACAACCCAGACCGCCAGCUAAGGUCCCAAAGUCAUGGUUAAGUGGGAAACGAUGUGGGAAGGCCCAGACAGCCAGGAUGUUGGCUUAGAAGCAGCCAUCAUUUAAAGAAAGCGUAAUAGCUCACUGGUCGAGUCGGCCUGCGCGGAAGAUGUAACGGGGCUAAACCAUGCACCGAAGCUGCGGCAGCGACACUAUGUGUUGUUGGGUAGGGGAGCGUUCUGUAAGCCUGCGAAGGUGUACUGUGAGGUAUGCUGGAGGUAUCAGAAGUGCGAAUGCUGACAUAAGUAACGAUAAAGCGGGUGAAAAGCCCGCUCGCCGGAAGACCAAGGGUUCCUGUCCAACGUUAAUCGGGGCAGGGUGAGUCGACCCCUAAGGCGAGGCCGAAAGGCGUAGUCGAUGGGAAACAGGUUAAUAUUCCUGUACUUGGUGUUACUGCGAAGGGGGGACGGAGAAGGCUAUGUUGGCCGGGCGACGGUUGUCCCGGUUUAAGCGUGUAGGCUGAUUUUCCAGGCAAAUCCGGAAAAUCAAGGCUGAGGCGUGAUGACGAGACACUACGGUGCUGAAGCAACAAAUGCCCUGCUUCCAGGAAAAGCCUCUAAGCAUCAGGUAACAUCAAAUCGUACCCCAAACCGACACAGGUGGUCAGGUAGAGAAUACCAAGGCGCUUGAGAGAACUCGGGUGAAGGAACUAGGCAAAAUGGUGCCGUAACUUCGGGAGAAGGCACGCUGAUAUGUAGGUGAAGCGACUUGCUCGUGGAGCUGAAAUCAGUCGAAGAUACCAGCUGGCUGCAACUGUUUAUUAAAAACACAGCACUGUGCAAACACGAAAGUGGACGUAUACGGUGUGACGCCUGCCCGGUGCCGGAAGGUUAAUUGAUGGGGUCAGCGCAAGCGAAGCUCUUGAUCGAAGCCCCGGUAAACGGCGGCCGUAACUAUAACGGUCCUAAGGUAGCGAAAUUCCUUGUCGGGUAAGUUCCGACCUGCACGAAUGGCGUAAUGAUGGCCAGGCUGUCUCCACCCGAGACUCAGUGAAAUUGAACUCGCUGUGAAGAUGCAGUGUACCCGCGGCAAGACGGAAAGACCCCGUGAACCUUUACUAUAGCUUGACACUGAACAUUGAGCCUUGAUGUGUAGGAUAGGUGGGAGGCUUUGAAGUGUGGACGCCAGUCUGCAUGGAGCCGACCUUGAAAUACCACCCUUUAAUGUUUGAUGUUCUAACGUUGGCCCGUAAUCCGGGUUGCGGACAGUGUCUGGUGGGUAGUUUGACUGGGGCGGUCUCCUCCUAAAGAGUAACGGAGGAGCACGAAGGUUGGCUAAUCCUGGUCGGACAUCAGGAGGUUAGUGCAAUGGCAUAAGCCAGCUUGACUGCGAGCGUGACGGCGCGAGCAGGUGCGAAAGCAGGUCAUAGUGAUCCGGUGGUUCUGAAUGGAAGGGCCAUCGCUCAACGGAUAAAAGGUACUCCGGGGAUAACAGGCUGAUACCGCCCAAGAGUUCAUAUCGACGGCGGUGUUUGGCACCUCGAUGUCGGCUCAUCACAUCCUGGGGCUGAAGUAGGUCCCAAGGGUAUGGCUGUUCGCCAUUUAAAGUGGUACGCGAGCUGGGUUUAGAACGUCGUGAGACAGUUCGGUCCCUAUCUGCCGUGGGCGCUGGAGAACUGAGGGGGGCUGCUCCUAGUACGAGAGGACCGGAGUGGACGCAUCACUGGUGUUCGGGUUGUCAUGCCAAUGGCACUGCCCGGUAGCUAAAUGCGGAAGAGAUAAGUGCUGAAAGCAUCUAAGCACGAAACUUGCCCCGAGAUGAGUUCUCCCUGACUCCUUGAGAGUCCUGAAGGAACGUUGAAGACGACGACGUUGAUAGGCCGGGUGUGUAAGCGCAGCGAUGCGUUGAGCUAACCGGUACUAAUGAACCGUGAGGCUUAACCUUACAACGCCGAAG
RNAcentral lists this ribosomal RNA (2923 nucleotides) under Escherichia coli. Its description in RNAcentral is "bacterial LSU rRNA". It matches the Rfam family "Bacterial large subunit ribosomal RNA". The record is from RNAcentral. Lineage: Bacteria; Pseudomonadati; Pseudomonadota; Gammaproteobacteria; Enterobacterales; Enterobacteriaceae.